AAAUGCUCAAUAAUCGAUUGGUAAAAAUUUUUAAAAAUAAUUAAUGCUAUCAAACUUAACAGUUCUCCAUUUUCAAUACCUAAUAAGUAUUUUUGGCUAAGGUUUUAAUAUUAUGCAGUUUUUAAAUUUUUCAUGUGCUUCUCUGAUCUAGGUAUGUCUUAGAGUUCUGCGAGUCAGCAGUGAAUGUUGGAAUCCUGUGGCAAAGCAAGGGAAGCAGCAUUUUAUAUUUUGGGUGGCUAUCUCCCAAAGUUCGAUACAGUUUUCGAUUGGCGAUAACUUUUUCAAAGUUUGUUCCUGUUUUCAUCUGGCCUUUAGACAGCCGUUUUUCAUUUCUGACUUUAGGUGAUAAACCAAGUCCUCCUGGGGCGCCUUUUAUUCAAAGUUUGUUUUGGUGCUGUGUACAAAAUAACAUGGGAAUCAUCAAAGGAGAAUGGAGGAACAAUUGAGCUCUACAGAUUGGAAGGAAAAAAGAAAGAUCUGUCUGCACUACCUAUAAGUAAUUCUCUGAGCGCAGACAAUUCUUCCGAGAUUGUCUCUAAUAACUGGACUCUUUACUACAAUGGAACAGAGAAUUAUUGGAUGUCACGGAACUAUCACCGAACUGUCAGUAUCAGUUCGAUGUGUGCUCUAAAAACAUGUAUGGAUGGAGCAACUUCAGCGAAAUUAGUGAUUCAUACGAUUUGGAUGCCAAUCAUCAAUUGAUCAUCCAUGAUACAAAUCUGGGUUACCUUUCUGGAUUUUAUUACCACUUCUCUUCAUUUUCAUUCUUGUGCUCAUCUGCGUUCUCCAUCGUUUUUUUCGGCGAACGGGCAAGAAGAAGAAUAACAUUUUUGUAAUGGGAAUGGAGUUUCCUGCAGAAGGGGCAGCGACGCAGAGCUAGCAAACUUUACGCGAGUUACCACGACAUCCGAACUUCAUCGAAAAUACUAACAUACUUUAUGCAACUUCUGACAAUUGCUUUUUUGAUGAUGAAGAGCCGCUGAAGUCUCUGCCGCACAUCAGACGGGAUCAAAUCACACUUACUAAAUUCUUGGGAAGCGGGUGCGUUGGGGAAGUUUUUGAGGGAGUUGCUAAAGACACGUUUUCAAUGGCCCGACAGAUGAAACUAGAAAUUGUUUAGAAACCAGGGUAGCCAUCAAAGUAAGUCCUUUGUUCAAUUAUCAUUUAAACUUUUGAUUCAAUUAAUCAUCACAACAAACUAACUUCUAUGUUUUUCUAGCACCAGGGUCUUUUGUUCCUGUAGACAUUCACAUUCAUUCAUUUCUCUAAGAUUAGGAGCUUAAGUUUAAGAAAAUUACAGUAUACAGAAAAUUAAGAUCAUCACAUUACCAACAAAAGGAAAGAAAAGAAAUAUGCUCUC
RNAcentral lists this long non-coding RNA (1360 nucleotides) under Bemisia tabaci. RNAcentral describes it as "lncRNA ENSSWEETPG008411". The record is from RNAcentral. Lineage: Eukaryota; Metazoa; Arthropoda; Insecta; Hemiptera; Aleyrodidae.